RNAcentral lists this long non-coding RNA (404 nucleotides) under Pan troglodytes (chimpanzee). RNAcentral's name for it is "long non-coding RNA NONPTRT010801". Lineage: Eukaryota; Metazoa; Chordata; Mammalia; Primates; Hominidae. The record is from RNAcentral.
GUGACAUUUUAAAACAUACGUAUUAUUUUAUUAGCUGAAUUUUAUAUUUUCAGGUAUUUUCUUACACUGCUGACAAAGAAAUCCGAACCGAUGACUUGUGCUUGGAUGUUUCUAGACUCAAUGGACCUGUAAUCAUGUUAAAAUGCCACCAUAUGAGAGGAAAUCAGUUAUGGGAAUAUGAUGCUGAGAGACUCACGUUGCGACAUGUUAACAGUAACCAAUGUCUCGAUGAACCUUCUGAAGAAGACAAAAUGGUGCCUACAAUGCAGGACUGUAGUGGAAGCAGAUCCCAACAGUGGCUGCUAAGGAACAUGACCUUGGGCACAUGAAGAUCAUGUCCUCCAAGCCAUGAAAGUGUCUACACUUUUGUUUUUCCAUUAUUUCAAUUGGGGGAAAAUAUUAAC